AUCGCUCUCUCUCUAAAUCUUAAAAAAUGGAAAAAUUGAAGUGUAGAGAGGAAGGGAAGGGAAGGACAAUUUAUAGAAUUUUGAAACCGUCGAAUUCAUGCCAAGUGACGAAAUCUGGUGAACAGAGAGGAGAAAAAAAUGUUUGACUCAAAAAACAAAAGAAGAGGGCCUCCUCCAUCAGCGUUGGUGGUGCGCCGCCUGAGACACUAACGGUGCACUACCCGAGGUGGCAGUGCCCCGACUGGCGCGUUGCAGG
This 256-nucleotide long non-coding RNA is filed under the name Carica papaya (papaya). RNAcentral's name for it is "long non-coding RNA (CPAP_LNC005857)". The record is from RNAcentral. Lineage: Eukaryota; Viridiplantae; Streptophyta; Magnoliopsida; Brassicales; Caricaceae.